GCUGCUGUUUCGUGGAUAGUAGUUGAUGAACAUAAACCCGCGGGAUUGAUCGAUGCAGUGAAACAGCGGGUUCCAGUCGAACAUCGCAAGCAUGAAAGAUGGCAUGGUGUUCGCCACGAACAUUUUGCCAGACGCAAUCAUGUUCGCCCGUUG
This is a small RNA of Phaeobacter sp., 153 nucleotides long. It matches the Rfam family "Ruegeria cis2 sRNA". From Rfam's summary of the family: Cis-encoded. Targets ABC transporter. The record is from Rfam. Lineage: Bacteria; Pseudomonadati; Pseudomonadota; Alphaproteobacteria; Rhodobacterales; Roseobacteraceae.